AACGUAGGUCCCGAGCGUUAUCCGGAUUUACUGGGCGUAAAGCGCGUGCAGGCGGCUCCGCAAGUCGGGCAUGAAAUCUCUCGGCUCAACCGAGAGAGGCUGUCCGAUACUGCGGGGCUUGAGGACGGAAGAGGCGGGUGGAAUUCCGCAUGUAGUGGUGAAAUGCGUAGAGAUGCGGAGGAACACCAGUGGCGAAAGCGGCCCGCUGGCCCGCUCCUGACGCUCAGACGCGAAAGCUCGGGGAGCGAACGGG
RNAcentral lists this ribosomal RNA (253 nucleotides) under uncultured bacterium. RNAcentral describes it as "partial 16S ribosomal RNA". It matches the Rfam family "Bacterial small subunit ribosomal RNA", at positions 524 to 776 of the family's 1533-position model. The record is from RNAcentral.